GAGUUUGAUCUUGGCUCAGAUUGAACGCUGGCGGCAGGCCUAACACAUGCAAGUCGAGCGGUAGAGAGAAGCUUGCUUCUCUUGAGAGCGGCGGACGGGUGAGUAAUGCCUAGGAAUCUGCCUGGUAGUGGGGGAUAACGCUCGGAAACGGACGCUAAUACCGCAUACGUCCUACGGGAGAAAGCAGGGGACCUUCGGGCCUUGCGCUAUCAGAUGAGCCUAGGUCGGAUUAGCUAGUUGGUGAGGUAAUGGCUCACCAAGGCGACGAUCCGUAACUGGUCUGAGAGGAUGAUCAGUCACACUGGAACUGAGACACGGUCCAGACUCCUACGGGAGGCAGCAGUGGGGAAUAUUGGACAAUGGGCGAAAGCCUGAUCCAGCCAUGCCGCGUGUGUGAAGAAGGUCUUCGGAUUGUAAAGCACUUUAAGUUGGGAGGAAGGGCAGUAAAUUAAUACUUUGCUGUUUUGACGUUACCGACAGAAUAAGCACCGGCCAACUCUGUGCCAGCCGCCG
Molecule: ribosomal RNA, 513 nt
Filed under: uncultured bacterium
Lineage: Bacteria
Description: bacterial SSU rRNA
Rfam family: Bacterial small subunit ribosomal RNA
Source: RNAcentral